CCCACGUUCAGAUCCGUAAAGGCCAGCACCCUGGCAGCACCCCGGCAGCGACAGCAACCAAUAUGGCCGCCGACGGCAAUUUUCUGCCCGCUGAUGUUUUGGAUGACGGUCACGUUGGAAGCACACAGCGGUAAAGAGGGAGAAGAUACUGGCAGAAGGGUCUAAAGCCAAAAGGUUCCAGUUAUCUGAAUCAACUUCAGGGAGAGGAAGCGCGAACGGGAAGAAGAAUUUUAUGUAUUUGAGUAAUAGUGUGCAAAGUCGUGAGAAAGACCGGCACCGCGGCUGUCUGCUGGAGCUCAGGUUACGGCCGACCGGCGGCACAGACUUUAUGGAAGCCUCUCUCCCACAGCAACACUCCCCCCUCCGCACGGCUCCGGAGGAGGUAUCGGGUUCCCGGAUCAGCGCCGGCCAGGCUUGGCGCUGGCGGCAGCUUGUGAUCUUGGGGGCCUGUGUGUGUGUGUGUGUGUGUGUGUGUGUGUGUGUGUGUGUGUGUGGAGCGGCGUGUGUGUUUUAUCUCCCACUCUUUGAGGGUAUCAGCACACAACACCGCUGUCUCCUGUAGGUAUGUAGGUGUGAUUUACGGAGAUGCUUCCCUCACGCACAUACGCAAAAUCCAACCUCUGCUCAGAAGCAGCUAGAAUGUUCUAUACCGUGUUACACAGUCUCAGGCUCAAUAAGCAGAGAUGGAGAGUUUAAAACCUAAAUGACAAAAAACAAGCACCAACAGUCCCCCAAACUAUUUUCUACUCCCUACUUUGGUGGAUCAUCGGGGACAUUGAACGUAAAUGUAUUAUCUGCAUUGCUAGGAUUAUUUUUUUUAAUCUUCCGUGCAGUGGAGACACAAGUUCACAUCACAAUAUGUAAGAGAUAAAUAUGCUUUCCUUUGUUUCAUUUUGGGGAACCAACCCUUUAAAAAACACCCCUCCACCGAGGUAGUAUACUUCCACAAAGCUCAUCAUCCAAAUAAAAAAAGAACGAUGGGCCAGAUGUCCAGAACACCAAAUACUGGAUGCUACACACUUUCUUAGAUUGACCAAGCUCCCCUAGGGGCCCCAGAAAACAUUUUACAACUACUAGACAGACUAACAUAAUGAUGAUGUGUCCC
Molecule: long non-coding RNA, 1105 nt
Organism: Gasterosteus aculeatus aculeatus (three-spined stickleback)
Lineage: Eukaryota; Metazoa; Chordata; Actinopteri; Perciformes; Gasterosteidae
Source: Ensembl